GGGGAUAACAGUUGGAAACGACCGCUAAUACCGCAUAAGCCAACAGGGGCGCAUGCUCUGGUUGGAAAAGAUUAAUCGGUGUGAGAUGGACCCGCGUCUGAUUAGCCAGUUGGCAGGGUAACGGCCUACCAAAGCGACGAUCAGUAGCCGGCCUGAGAGGGUGAACGGCCACAUUGGGACUGAGACACGGCCCAAACUCCUACGGGAGGCAGCAGUGGGGAAUAUUGCACAAUGGGGGAAACCCUGAUGCAGCGACGCCGCGUGAGUGAAGAAGUAUUUCGGUAUGUAAAGCUCUAUCAGCAGGGAGGAAAAUGACGGUACCUGACUAAGAAGCCCCGGCUAACUACGUGCCAGCAGCCGCGGUAAUACGUAGGGGGCAAGCGUUAUCCGGAUUUACUGGGUGUAAAGGGAGCGUAGACGGUGAUGCAAGUCAGAAGUGAAAGCCCGGGGCUCAACUCCGGGACUGCUUUUGAAACUGUAUAACUGGAGUGCAGGAGAGGUAAGCGGAAUUCCUAGUGUAGCGGUGAAAUGCGUAGAUAUUAGGAGGAACACCAGUGGCGAAGGCGGCUUACUGGACUGUAACUGACGUUGAGGCUCGAAAGCGUGGGGAGCAAACAGGAUUAGAUACCCUGGUAGUCCAGGCCGUAAACGAUGAA
This 656-nucleotide ribosomal RNA is filed under the name uncultured bacterium. Its description in RNAcentral is "bacterial SSU rRNA". It matches the Rfam family "Bacterial small subunit ribosomal RNA", at positions 139 to 813 of the family's 1533-position model. The record is from RNAcentral.